GUAAAAAAGCUCGUAGUUGGAUUUCUGUUGAGGACGACCGGUCCACACCACGUGUGCGCAUCUGGCUCGGUCUCGGCAUCCUCUCGAUAGACGUUUCUGCGCUUGAUUGCGUGGUGCGGAUUUCGGGACUUUUACUUUGAGGAAAUUAGAGUGUUCACGGCAGGCUAUCGCCAGAAUACGUUAGCAUGGAAUAAUACUAUAGGAUCUCGGUUCUAUUUUGUUGGUUUCUAGAAGCGAGGUAAUGAUUAAUAGGGACAAUUGGGGGCAUUUGUAUCAACACGUCAGAGGUGGAAUUCUUGGAUUGUGUUGCGACAAACUACUGCGAAAGCAUUUGCCAAGGAUGUUUUCAUUGAUCAAGAACGAAAGUAAGGGGAUCGAAGACGAUUAGAUACCGUCGUAGUCUUUACCAUAAACUAUGCCAACUAGAGAUGGGUGAUCGUUCAUUUACGACUUCAUCCGCACCUUAUGAGAUAUCAAAGUCUUUGGGUUCCGGGGGGAGUACUGUCGCAAGGUAGAAACUUAAAGGAAUUGACGGAAGGGCACCACCAGGAGUGGAGCCUGCGGCUUAAUUUGACUCAACACGGGGAAACUCACCAGGCCCAGACAUAAUAAGGAUUGACAGAUUGAUAGCUCUUUCUUGAUUUUAUGGGUGGUGGUGCAUGGCCGUUCUUAGUUCGUGGAGUGAUUUGUCUGCUUAAUUGCGUUAACGAACGAGACC
This 718-nucleotide ribosomal RNA is filed under the name uncultured marine eukaryote. RNAcentral describes it as "SSU rRNA". It matches the Rfam family "Eukaryotic small subunit ribosomal RNA", at positions 618 to 1342 of the family's 1831-position model. The record is from RNAcentral.